Macaca mulatta (Rhesus monkey) is the source of this 978-nucleotide non-coding RNA. NCBI's taxonomy places the organism in Eukaryota, Metazoa, Chordata, Mammalia, Primates, Cercopithecidae. The record is from RefSeq and is a predicted model, not a curated record.
GAGUAGCUAAGCCUACAGAGAAAAGAGCUCUGGAGAGCAAGAAAUCUUACCCAUCCCGCGGAGAUCACGCAAAGCUUGGGUUGGUUUUGGGGUCUUCAAAAGGUUCAGAGUCAUUCCGGAUAAGUCCAGAGAAAACUCGCUUGGGAUGGACCACUUGGGAUGCAACCAUCUUAAGCCCUGUCCAAGGGUUGAAGGCCCACGUUAAAGGUUGAAGAUGAACCAUUCUAAAAAGACCAACAAUACUGCUUGGGACAUUGUAACACAGUUGUCAGUUGACUUGGAGGCUGAGAUCAACUAUGUGGGCAAUCAAGCAAUCACACCUACAAAAUGAAGACCCAAUAAAAACUCUGAACACAGAGGCUCAGGUAGCUCAGAAAAGACAAGAGAAAGCGCUCAGAUUUGGAAUGACGGAUCAUGUGAGACCCCACAAAGGGAAGAGAGAAGCCACUUUAAGUUCUGUAAUAUAGAGCUUAGACAAGUAACUUGACUCCUCUGAGCAUUAAUUCUGGAAUUUCUGAAAUGGGUAUAGCGAGAGAAAAUUCCUCCAAGGCCCGAGGAUAGAAUAAGAUAAUGGAUGCAGUGGCAGGGCUUUCAGGAUGAAGCUGAUUUCAACAUCAACGGUUAUUAUCAUUAGUAAUAAAACUAAGAAUACAAAUCCUGCCAGGAAUACACAAAAUAGUAACAAGCAUUCUGCAGCCUGUCUCGGAAAGAAGAAAUAGUUUUCUUAACAGCCAGCCUGUCUGUGUAGAGACCUCUGAACACAUUCAUAACAGAGACAAAAGACGUGGGUCCUGAAGCUGAGAACAACCAAGUGACAUUCCAGCACUGCCAGAAAAAAAAGGGAUGGAACAUGACCUAUGUAAGAACCCAGCCUGGGAAGAAGAGAGGUUUCAUGGCCACAAAUCAACAAGGACUCCUUAGGAAACGGAAGAGAGAAACAGGAAAUGUAUAUAAGAUGCCUCUUACAACUAUUAUAUA